Long non-coding RNA from Hypomesus transpacificus, 2674 nucleotides. RefSeq lists it as uncharacterized. The record is from RefSeq and is a predicted model, not a curated record. Lineage: Eukaryota; Metazoa; Chordata; Actinopteri; Osmeriformes; Osmeridae. The transcript has 2 exons.
UCUCAGCUACCCCUUUAAGAGCAAUAACUUAUUUUUCUCAAAACUACGGGAUCCGGUCUAGCAAUGGACACAGCGUGCAUGCGUUGCAUGCGUUGCCCCCAGGACAGCCACACGAGCGGCAGCUGUUGACGCAUGUUGGAGCCAUACUCUCAAUGGACGAGGGGCAGAGAGGGGAAAGGAGCCGAGUCAGUUUCCAGGAACGAUAGUUUAUUACACGUGCUUUGUAAUUUAAACUUUAGCCAUCGAGUCUAUACGGAAAUCCAUCCACUGGAGCGACAUCCUAAAUGUAAGGGCAAUAUGCCUCUAAACAUCCAGCGCUAUUGUGGUACAACGGGCACAGGUAACCAGUGAGCAGGAAUAGGGUCUGAAUUUCUAACGUAAGUAUGACUUUCGCCUUUACACCUGUUUAACGUGCGCGCUCAUGGCAUUUGAACACGUCGUAGUUAAAUUGGACAGGAGACAUGCUCGGACUACAUGCCAUUUUUUUUUACGAAAAAUGAAAUGCCUCAUUGUACUGGGGGUGGCAAAUCUAAAUCUAUCGUGGCUCACAUGUCAAGCCGCUGAAUCUGUCUAUUUUGUUUGAGUUCUAAAAUAUGUUGGUUUGGAUUCAGACGUGAAUGCACUAAUACUCAUGUUACGCACAUCUGACGACGCACUCUCAUGGAAUAAUACCUAAUUUAUGUAGGCUAUGGGCUUCAAUUUAAGGGAAAUGUAAUGCUGGACUAGGACGUAGCCUGUAUGUAUACAACAAUAAUAUGGCUUUAAUAGCAUAGUAUUUUGGGGUAUCACUGAAAUAUUCAUUGUUAGUCGAAUCAUGCCAGUCAUAUAAAAUUGUAAAACAUAAUCAGUAUUAAAUGUGUACUUCUAUCAUAUAGUUCCGUAGGUUAAUUAUUAUUAUUUUACAUCUUAUUCUUCUUAUAUGUAAUAUUAGUUAUAUAAUAGAAGUAUGUAGGCAUAUGUGAUACUAUUGGCAAUUAGUUUUCAUAGUAACAGUAGGCUUGAAAUUAUCAUUAUUAAUAUGGUUGUUGUUAUUAUUAUUGUUGUUGUUGUUAUCUAGGCUACUGUAAGUUGCCCAUGCAUACUAUUUAAUGUAUCCAACACCAAAGACACUUUUUCUAGACAUAGGUUUUUUAUUAUCAUUAUUAUGAAUCAUAAUAAUAAUAUAAUUAUUAGGCCUAUUAUUUUGUAGCCUAUUUUGAUAUGACUGAUAUCUGACUGUUUUUUAAGAUAUGUUCCUAGAGUGUGUAGUAGUGUAAUGAGGUUUUUAGCCGAUGGGAUUCGACAUAGUACGGUGGUAGGCCCAUAGCCUACAAUAUGGCCAUUGAUCGUCGUCUCUUUUCCGAUCUGGCAACUGGGAGUGAAGACGCCUGCGGAUGUCCAUUACGCGACUUUGGUGACCCGCUCAGACUGACUAUAAACUCCAGUGGGACACUGGGAGGAAUCAGCCUUGAGGCAACUCUGAUGCAAAACAAUUAGCACUUUUAAUCAGAAUACUUCCAAAAAUAUGUCACAUUAUUAGCUGUACUAGCCUGUAAUGUUAUCAUUUGAUUGUACAUGGUGUAAAAAAAACAACUAAAACGAGCAUAUAAUAAUAACAAUACUUAUUAUAUUAAUAACCAUGUUAGUGAUACUAAGCUACAACAAUAGGGCCUACAAACAAUACCACUAGACCACUACAAUAAUAAUAAUGUACAUUAUUAAUAUUAUUAUUAUUAUUAUUGGCAUUGUUAUUAUUGUUAUCAGGUCAUAUAGCCUACAGACUAUUAUUAUUAUAAAUAAUAAUGAACCUGUUAGCUUGACAUAUUUAGCAACUCAUGUCAUGUGUAACUAUGUUUAGUCAGUUAAGAGUAAUUCACCUUUCCAUUCAAUAGUUUAACUUUAUCAUGCAAGUGAAAAAGAGGAGUCAAGGCAUCCACUACACAAUCCUUUAUAGAAUAAAAUCAAGUACAAAUAAAUUGAUUUAAUGAAUAAAUAAAUAAAUAUAAAAUAACACUAUUCGGUUAUAGGUCUGUUAAGCGUCUGCGCAGCGAGACUUUGACACCAACAAUCGCUAACAGGUGGGUCUUGUAGAUGUCAGUUUUUGUUGUUAUUUGGCCGUAUUGCUUUGAAUGAAAGCAUGAUCAUAACAUGGAGUCGAAAUCGAUAUAUUGAUUACAAUCCCUACAUCACAUGGAGAGAGAAAAAAGAACGGGCAGGAGUUUCAAGAAUGUUUUCACCAAUUCUGCAAAACAAUCUAAACAUGCAUCGGAUUUUUCGCACACAUAGGGCAGGACAAAUGAUUUCACACGGUGCAACACCUUUUUAAAGAGCAAUUAACUGUGAUUAUGCUUGUAAAGAGAAGUGUUGCUCCUCAACACUCGCUCAUUGGGGAAUAGUUUUCUGCGUCAUUUAAACGUCUGCCUUUUACGAGCUCGUGGAAACGUGACGGCUGUGUAACCCCGCAUUGUGGAGUAUUUUCUUUCCAGAUUGUUGCCAUUUUCCUGUGGUUUUAACCCAGGAAGGGAGGAAUGCUGGCCCAGUACCCGGAAGAGAGGUGUAGGGUACAGGCCUACUGUUACUCGGCCACCUAUAUAAUGUGUACAUAUAUAGGCCUAUACAUAUUUAUUUAUUUUGGUAGGCUACUUCAUUUAAUUUAAUGUAAACGAGAUUAAAUAAAUGCAGCAACUGAACACUC